This 374-nucleotide ribosomal RNA is filed under the name uncultured organism. RNAcentral describes it as "bacterial SSU rRNA". It matches the Rfam family "Bacterial small subunit ribosomal RNA", at positions 525 to 896 of the family's 1533-position model. The record is from RNAcentral.
CGGUAGGGUGCAGGCGUUAAUCGGAAUUACGUGGGCGUAAAGCGUGCGCAGGCGGUCUACUAAGACAGGUGUGAAACGUCCCCGGGCUUAACCGUGGGAACUGCGCUUGUAACUGGUAGGCUUGAGUGUGGCAGAGGGGGUGGAAUUCCACGUGUAGCAGUGAAAUGCGUAGAGAUGUGGAGGAACACCGAUGGCGAAGGCAGCCCCCUGGGCUAACACUGACGCUCAUGCACGAAAGCGUGGGGAGCAAACAGGAUUAGAUACCCUGGUAGUCCACGCCCUAAACUAUGUCAACUGGUUGUCGGGGAAGCAAUUCCUUGGUAACGAAGCUAACGCGUGAAGUUGACCGCCUGGGGAGUACGGCCGCAAGGUUA